This 468-nucleotide ribosomal RNA is filed under the name uncultured bacterium. RNAcentral's name for it is "partial 16S ribosomal RNA". It matches the Rfam family "Bacterial small subunit ribosomal RNA", at positions 28 to 507 of the family's 1533-position model. The record is from RNAcentral.
GACGAACGCUGGCGGCGUGCCUAACACAUGCAAGUCGAACGGAAAGGCCCUGCUUUUGUGGGGUGCUCGAUUGGCGAACGGGUGAGUAACACGUGAGUAACCUGCCCUUGACUUUGGGAUAACUUCAGGAAACAGGGGCUAAUAUCGGAGAGGAUAUCCUGCUGCGUUGGGGGCGUUGGAAAGUUUCGGCUGUUGGGGAUGGACUAGCGGCUUAUCAGCUAGUUGGUCGGGUAGGUGCUUACCAAGGCUUUGAAGGGUAGCCGGCAUGAGAGGGUGGACGGGCUCCAUAGGACUAAGAGAGGGAGCAGUCUCGAACGGGGGGCAACAGGCGGAAGUAUUGCACAGUGAGCGGAAGUCGGAGGAGGAGGCGCCGCGUUCGUAAAGACGGUUUUUGGGUUAAGAACCGCUUUCGCCUGAGACGAAGCGUGAGUGACGGUAAUGAAUAAAGAAGCACCGGCUAACUACGUG